This 745-nucleotide ribosomal RNA is filed under the name uncultured bacterium. RNAcentral describes it as "bacterial SSU rRNA". It matches the Rfam family "Bacterial small subunit ribosomal RNA", at positions 33 to 773 of the family's 1533-position model. The record is from RNAcentral.
ACGCUGGCGGCAGGCCUAACACAUGCAAGUCGAGCGGUAGAGAGAAGCUUGCUUCUCUUGAGAGCGGCGGACGGGUGAGUAAUGCCUAGGAAUCUGCCUGGUAGUGGGGGAUAACGUUCGGAAACGGACGCUAAUACCGCAUACGUCCUACGGGGGAAAGCAGGGGACCUUCGGGCCUUGCGCUAUCAGAUGAGCCUAGGUCGGAUUAGCUAGUUGGUGAGGUAAUGGCUCACCAAGGCGACGAUCCGUAACUGGUCUGAGAGGAUGAUCAGUCACACUGGAACUGAGACACGGUCCAGACUCCUACGGGAGGCAGCAGUGGGGAAUAUUGGACAAUGGGCGAAAGCCUGAUCCAGCCAUGCCGCGUGUGUGAAGAAGGUCUUCGGAUUGUAAAGCACUUUAAGUUGGGAGGAAGGGUUGUAGAUUAAUACUCUGCAAUUUUGACGUUACCGACAGAAUAAGCACCGGCUAACUCUGUGCCAGCAGCCGCGGUAAUACAGAGGGUGCAAGCGUUAAUCGGAAUUACUGGGCGUAAAGCGCGCGUAGGUGGUUUGUUAAGUUGGAUGUGAAAUCCCCGGGCUCAACCUGGGAACUGCAUUCAAAACUGACUGACUAGAGUAUGGUAGAGGGUGGUGGAAUUUCCUGUGUAGCGGUGAAAUGCGUAGAUAUAGGAAGGAACACCAGUGGCGAAGGCGACCACCUGGACUAAUACUGACACUGAGGUGCGGAAGCGUGGGGAGCAAAC